UGCCUGGAGACUGUAUGGAUGAGAGCAGGGUAUUAUACUAAACCUGGGAGGACAGAGAAUAUUAUCAUUUCCCCUGUGGAAGGAGGACACACAAAUUGGUGGAUUCAUAUUUUU
This 114-nucleotide small nuclear RNA is filed under the name Mesocricetus auratus (golden hamster). The record is from RNAcentral. Lineage: Eukaryota; Metazoa; Chordata; Mammalia; Rodentia; Cricetidae.